RNAcentral lists this long non-coding RNA (645 nucleotides) under Marmota monax (woodchuck). The record is from RNAcentral. Lineage: Eukaryota; Metazoa; Chordata; Mammalia; Rodentia; Sciuridae.
CAUUGCAUUCAGAGCCAUGCAGUCUUGUUUCAUGUUGAUCUCACAUCAACUGUUAUCCCCAUUUUAUAAAACGAGAGAACAGGCCCAAAGAGGUGCUCGAAGCCUCAUAGACAGUCAAUGGGAGGGUCUUGCUUUGAACUCAGGACUCUUGGUUCCCGUAGCACUGAUGAGUGCCCUGAGGUGGGAUUGGAUGCUGCAGCAAGGUGGCUCCAGGCAGGGGUGAUAGUUCCAGGCUGUCUGGGCCUCUGUCAUAGAUUUCUCCCUCUUUUCCUUCCUCCCUCUGAUUGGAAGCAUGGAGACAGGAAACUUCUGUCAAAAGUAAAACUGAGGAUCAGAGAGAGGGAAACAGUUGGAUUGGUCGUGAAUUUGGUCCUAGUGCCAUAGGCUAAGCCCAUAUUAGUCUAGGAUACUGAACAGACCAGGAGCUAGCGCUAAAGCUUAAGGCAGGUCAGAACUAGAAUCAGAGUUAGAGCUGAACCAGGAACUAGACUUAGAGCUGCCACCAGUGCUGGAGCAGAUCCAGGCCAGGACAAGGGGCUGAACCCAGACCCAGAGCCAGGAGGAAAAGGGUGGGGAUAGAGGAAGGCGCUCCCACCACACAUGUACAGAAUUCUCCAGUAAGUCAGCUACAGUGCUGGGCAGAAA